GGAAAGGGUGCGACGGAACCCGCGGGCCCCGGACCGCCGCGCCCUCUCCCUUCCGCGGCGCCCGGGGACGGGCCCCAGAGGUGUCGCCCGUGAAAAGUGGAGCGUCCCAGGUUUCAACCAAGAUGGCAACAUAACAAGCUCCUAAACUUCCACCUUCAUGGGCACACAGGUGAAUGAGAAAAAAAUACAUCAAAACAGAUUUCCAUUAGAUAUUGGGAAUUUCUUCCAAGGACAACAGGCAAAAAUCAUUGCAAAGCUCUGAAUGCUUUCAUCUUGAUGGAGCUGCAGCAGACAUCUCACAAUCAUGGCAACCAACCAAUAUAAUCAGGGACAUUGGCCAUUCAACUAGCAACUUCCUGCUUAUAAG
Molecule: long non-coding RNA, 367 nt
Organism: Manis pentadactyla (Chinese pangolin)
Lineage: Eukaryota; Metazoa; Chordata; Mammalia; Pholidota; Manidae
Exons: 4
Source: RefSeq, a predicted model, not a curated record